RNAcentral lists this long non-coding RNA (1040 nucleotides) under Anser cygnoides (Swan goose). RNAcentral's name for it is "lncRNA (ENSACDG00005010672.1)". Lineage: Eukaryota; Metazoa; Chordata; Aves; Anseriformes; Anatidae. The record is from RNAcentral.
AUGCAGAGUUUGGGAACGUUACUGGUAAUCUUUCCUUUCCUUUGUGAUGAUGAUAUCUCAGCAGUGGCAAUAAAAUUUUCUGAGCUUAGUAGACUUUUAUCUGAAACCACUAAGUCCAUUGUAUUACUCACAUGGGAAGAAAAAAAAAAAAAAAAAAAGCACAGACAAUUCCCUGGGUCUAAACCAUAUGUGUAGACAACAACAUGAGGAAUGAAUGAAAAACAUUUCAGCAGGGAUUCCUCUUCAUUCAUUUUCCAAUACUGCUUCUUUCUUUCAUUCUUCAAAAUACUCUAUAAACUCCUGAGUAAACUCUGACCAUUGCUACUCACAAUGCUUGUAUCUCAUCUCAUCUUGUGGGAAAAUCAUUUGUGGUUUUGAGUCUGAGUAUAAACUUUCUGACAUGUGUUUACAAGCUGACAUUUUUUAAACAGCACACAUAGACAUCAACUGCUUUCUGCUUCACCACUUCACUCUGACAAUCCUGAAACACCCAAACUGCAGCUGAUCAAAGCCUGUGACAAAGCUCUGCAUGGAGGCAGGUGAGAAAGAUAGAGACAACUACUACAGCUGUAUGGAACUGUAGAAGCAGCUGUAUCUCUCUGAAAUUUCCUCUGCUUUUAACUUUAACAUCAAUUUUUUCAAGCAAGUUUGGAAUUGUUUAACGUGGCUUGCAAAACUUUUAAUCUGAAAUUCAAAUUCAUUACCUGCAUUUGGAUUUCAUUACAGACAUGACCUGGAGCCAUGGCUUGUACAUUUUCCUAAUUACAUAAAUCAGUCGAAUGAGCUUCUGCAGUAUACAUUUCCCAACAGCACCAUGAGAACCUCAGUGUUUCUCAUGAAGUCAGUUGAGACAAAACACAACAGCUUUUGAGGAAUACCGAGGAAGGAGAAAAGAGAUACAAUACAGAAAAUAAUGAAUGGCUUAAUGAAGGCAUAGCAAGAAAUUCAUCACUUUUUCUUGUAAUGUCAGCAUGGGUAAGGUAGUUACCCUAUAAACAUAAUUGAAUAAACUGCAGAAUGGUAAGAAAGAGUGUAAUUUU